This 496-nucleotide ribosomal RNA is filed under the name uncultured bacterium. Its description in RNAcentral is "partial 16S ribosomal RNA". It matches the Rfam family "Bacterial small subunit ribosomal RNA", at positions 28 to 507 of the family's 1533-position model. The record is from RNAcentral.
GAUGAACGCUGGCGGCGUGCCUAAUACAUGCAAGUCGAGCGAACAGACGAGGAGCUUGCUCCUCUGACGUUAGCGGCGGACGGGUGAGUAACACGUGGAUAACCUACCUAUAAGACUGGGAUAACUUCGGGAAACCGGAGCUAAUACCGGAUAAUAUAUUGAACCGCAUGGUUCAAUAGUGAAAGACGGUUUUGCUGUCACUUAUAGAUGGAUCCGCGCCGCAUUAGCUAGUUGGUAAGGUAACGGCUUACCAAGGCAACGAUGCGUAGCCGACCUGAGAGGGUGAUCGGCCACACUGGAACUGAGACACGGUCCAGACUCCUACGGGAGGCAGCAGUAGGGAAUCUUCCGCAAUGGGCGAAAGCUUACGGAGCAACGCCGCGUGAGUGAUGAAGGUCUUCGGAUCGUAAAACUCUGUUAUUAGGGAAGAACAAAUGUGUAAGUAACUAUGCACGUCUUGACGGUACCUAAUCAGAAAGCCACGGCUAACUACGUG